GUAUGUACAUGCCUAUAGGGUUAAUGCAUUGGAUCUCGUUAGAACUCUAAGCGUUCUUGGGAUAGAGUAGUACUAGGGUGGGUGAUCUCCUUGGAAGUCCUAGUGUUUUACAUUCC
This is a non-coding RNA of Picea glauca (white spruce), 116 nucleotides long. NCBI's taxonomy places the organism in Eukaryota, Viridiplantae, Streptophyta, Pinopsida, Pinales, Pinaceae. The record is from Rfam.